RNAcentral lists this ribosomal RNA (465 nucleotides) under uncultured bacterium. RNAcentral's name for it is "partial 16S ribosomal RNA". It matches the Rfam family "Bacterial small subunit ribosomal RNA", at positions 339 to 795 of the family's 1533-position model. The record is from RNAcentral.
CUACGGGAUGCUGCAGUGAGGAAUUUUGCGCAAUGGGGGCAACCCUGACGCAGCAACGCCGCGUGAGUGAAGAAGGCCUUUGGGUCGUAAAGCUCUGUCGACAGGGAAGAAGUUAUUGUUGUUUAACAGAUGACAGUAUUGACGGUACCUGUAGAGGAAGCACCGGCUAACUCCGUGCCAGCAGCCGCGGUAAUACGGGGGGUGCAAGCGUUAUUCGGAAUUAUUGGGCGUAAAGGGCGCGUAGGCGGUCUUGUCGGUCAGAUGUGAAAGCCCAGGGCUCAACCCUGGACGUGCAUUUGAAACAGCAAGACUCGAGUACGGGAGAGGAAAGCGGAAUUCCUGGUGUAGAGGUGAAAUUCGUAGAUAUCAGGAGGAACACCGAUGGCGAAGGCAGCUUUCUGGACCGAUACUGACGCUGAGGCGCGAAGGUGUGGGUAGCGAACGGGAUUAGAUACCCUAGUAGUC